CGGUAUGCUUAACACAUGCAAGUCGAACGGUAGCAGGCCUUUCGGGCGCUGACGAGUGGCGGACGGGUGAGUAACGCGUAGGAAUCUGCCUCAUAGUGGGGGACAACGUGGGGAAACUCACGCUAAUACCGCAUACGCCCUACGGGGGAAAGCGGGGGAUCUUCGGACCUCGCGCUAUGAGAUGAGCCUGCGUUAGAUUAGCUAGUUGGUAGGGUAAAGGCCUACCAAGGCGACGAUCUAUAGCUGGUCUGAGAGGACGAUCAGCCACACUGGGACUGAGACACGGCCCAGACUCCUACGGGAGGCAGCAGUGGGGAAUAUUGGACAAUGGGCGCAAGCCUGAUCCAGCAAUACCGCGUGUGUGAAGAAGGCCCUAGGGUUGUAAAGCACUUUCAAUUGGGAGGAAAACCUACCGGUCAAUACCCGGUAGCUUGACAUUACCUUUAGAAGAAGCACCGGCUAACUCCGUGCCAGCAGCCGCGGUAAUACGGAGGGUGCAAGCGUUAAUCGGAAUUACUGGGCGUAAAGCGUGCGUAGGCGGUUCGUUAAGUCAGAUGUGAAAGCCCCGGGCUCAACCUGGGAACUGCAUUUGAAACUGGCGAACUAGAGUUGGGUAGAGGGGAGUGGAAUUUCAGGUGUAGCGGUGAAAUGCGUAGAUAUCUGAAGGAACACCAGUGGCGAAGGCGACUCCCUGGACUCAAACUGACGCUGAGGUACGAAAGCGUGGGUAGCAAACAGGAUUAGAUACCCUGGUAGUCCACGCUGUAAACGAUGUCAACUAGCCGUUGGUCCUAUUUACAGGAUUAGUGGCGCAGCUAACGCAUUAAGUUGACCGCCUGGGGAGUACGGCCGCAAGGUUAAAACUCAAAUGAAUUGACGG
RNAcentral lists this ribosomal RNA (880 nucleotides) under uncultured bacterium. RNAcentral's name for it is "bacterial SSU rRNA". It matches the Rfam family "Bacterial small subunit ribosomal RNA", at positions 40 to 916 of the family's 1533-position model. The record is from RNAcentral.